UGGGGAAUAUUGCGCAAUGGACGAAAGUCUGACGCAGCAACGCCGCGUGAGGGAUGACGGCCUUCGGGUUGUAAACCUCUUUCAGCAGGGACGAAGCGAGAGUGACGGUACCUGCAGAAGAAGGACCGGCCAACUACGUGCCAGCAGCCGCGGUAAUACGUAGGGUCCGAGCGUUGUCCGGAAUUAUUGGGCGUAAAGGGCUCGUAGGCGGUUCGUCACGUCGGGAGUGAAAACUCGGAGCUUAACUCCGAGCCUGCUUCCGAUACGGGCAGACUAGAGGUAGGCAGGGGAGAGCGGAACUCCUGGUGUAGCGGUGAAAUGCGCAGAUAUCAGGAGGAACACCGGUGGCGAAGGCGGGUCCCUGGGCCGAUACUGACGCUGAGGAGCGAAAGCGUGGGGAGCGAAC
RNAcentral lists this ribosomal RNA (406 nucleotides) under uncultured bacterium. RNAcentral's name for it is "bacterial SSU rRNA". It matches the Rfam family "Bacterial small subunit ribosomal RNA", at positions 355 to 773 of the family's 1533-position model. The record is from RNAcentral.